UAGGUGAACCUGCGGAGGGAUCAUUACCGAGUUUACAACUCCCAAACCCAAUGUGAACCAUACCAAACUGUUGCCUCGGCGGGGUCACGCCCCGGGUGCGUCGCAGCCCCGGAACCAGGCGCCCGCCGGAGGGACCAACCAAACUCUUUUCUGUAGUCCCCUCGCGGACGUUAUUUCUUACAGCUCUGAGCAAAAAUUCAAAAUGAAUCAAAACUUUCAACAACGGAUCUCUUGGUUCUGGCAUCGAUGAAGAACGCAGCGAAAUGCGAUAAGUAAUGUGAAUUGCAGAAUUCAGUGAAUCAUCGAAUCUUUGAACGCACAUUGCGCCCGCCAGUAUUCUGGCGGGCAUGCCUGUCCGAGCGUCAUUUCAACCCUCGAACCCCUCCGGGGGGUCGGCGUUGGGGACCUCGGGAGCCCCUAAGACGGGAUCCCGGCCCCGAAAUACAGUGGCGGUCUCGCCGCAGCCUCUCCUGCGCAGUAGUUUGCACAACUCGCACCGGGAGCGCGGCGCGUCCACGUCCGUAAAACACCCAACUUCUGAAAUGUUGACCUCGGAUCAGGUAGGAAUACCCGCUGAACUUAAGCAUAUCAAUAAGCGG
RNAcentral lists this ribosomal RNA (599 nucleotides) under Trichoderma viride. Its description in RNAcentral is "eukaryotic LSU rRNA". The stretch from base 212 to 365 matches the Rfam family "5.8S ribosomal RNA". Lineage: Eukaryota; Fungi; Ascomycota; Sordariomycetes; Hypocreales; Hypocreaceae. The record is from RNAcentral. RNAcentral also lists the same sequence under 1 other name.